This is a long non-coding RNA of Cyprinus carpio carpio, 2809 nucleotides long. Lineage: Eukaryota; Metazoa; Chordata; Actinopteri; Cypriniformes; Cyprinidae. The record is from Ensembl.
AUGUGGUCAGCACUGUUUAGCUCUAAAAAUGACAAAUCCAUGUCUGGAUUUGGUUAUUCAUUCAUUCAUUCAUUCAUUUUUUUUAUUAUUUUCCAGCUUUACAGACAGAAUCCGCCUUCAUUCACUUUAAUUGUGUUGAAAGUUCUAAACAUUUUCCACAGACGAGUUUGGAGCGACAUUAGGGUUGUUCAGUUCAUGAAGUCUUCAGUUCUUCGGGCCCAUGGGUGAGCUUUAUCUGAUGUGUGUGGGAGCCAUGACUGGAGGAAUCUGACAGCACAGACGCUGCUAUGUUUGCACUCAUUAACUCAGCUAUUGUAUCCACUGGUCCACGUGUGACACCCCCACGUCUGUCCCAGUCGGAGUAUUUGUGUCUGGAGAGCACCGACAGCUAUUCAGGACUACAGAGAUUCCUGUUGUUACUGUCCUUGUGUUUGUUUGUUUGUUUGUUUAUUUAUUUAUUUAUUCGUAGUUAGUGAGUUGAUUGUUUGGUUUUUCCUUCACAUUUUAUUUGAUUAAAUUUACAUUUAUAAAAACAAAUAAUAUAUACAUAUAAAUGUAUUUUUAUGAAAUUUUGUAUAAUGUAUUAUAGCUGUAUAAGUGUUUGUAUUUUAUAACAUUUAAAUUACUUUUAGUUAUUCUUAUUAAUUAACUACUGGGGAAAAAGGCCAGACACUUGAUAAAUGAUACCAAUAUUUUCUUUUCAACCAAGUACUAUUUUUGUGAUUGCAAAGGAUAAAACUGAGUAAUUAUAACCAUUUAAAGGGAUACUCCAUCCCAAAAUGAAAUUUUUGUCAUUAAUCACUUACCCCCGUGUCGUUCCAAACUCGUAAAAGCAUUGUUUGUCUUCAGAACACAAUUUAAGAUAUUCUGGAUAAAACCAGGAGGCUUGUUACUGUCCUAUAGACUGCCAAGCAAAUAACAGUGUCAAGGUCCAAAAAAGUAUGAAAAGCAUCGUCAGAAUAAUCCAUCUGCCAUCAGUGAUUCAAACGUAAUGUUAUGAAGCGACGAGAAUACUUUUUGUAUGCGAAUAAAACAAAAAUAACGACUUUAUUCAACAAUUUGUCUCCUUUGUGUCACUCCACAUUAGCGUAGCGCCAUUUUGGCAAAUCUGAGCUGUACACACGCAGCGUACGCUCUUCUGUGACAGCCGUUUUCUUUCAAAUCAAAGUGUAAAUAUAUGUAGAAAACAUAUCCUUGUGGCGCGGCUGGCACAGAAGACUGUAUACUGCCUGCAUACAGCUCAGAUUUGCCAAAAUGGCACUACGCUGAUGUUCUCACCUGAUGUGAACUGACGCAGAGGAGACAAAUUGUUGAAUAAAGUCGUUAUUUUUGUUUUAUUCGCAUACAAAAAGUAUUGUCGUCGCUUCAUAACGUUACAGUUGAACCACUGAUGGCAGAUGGACUAUUCUGAUGAUGCUUUUCAUACUUUUCUGGACCUUGGCAGUGUAUUUUUACAUUGCAGUCUAUUGGACAGUCUCAAGCCUCCCUGUUUUCAUCCAAAAUAUCUUAAAUUGUGUUCCAAAGAUGAACAAAGAUUUUACGGGUUUGGAACGAAAUGGGGGUAAGUGAUUAAUGACAACAUUUUCAUUUUGGGGUGCAGUAUCCCUUUAAUAUUAUAUUUAAAAUAAUUAUAUUAUUUUUGUGGAAACCGAUAAUUUUUUUUUUUUGGGGGGGGGGUAGUGUAUGUUUCAAUGGUACUGUACAUUCAUUGUUAUUUAGUGAGAAUUAGACAAGAGGAACAAAGAAAGAAAUAGUUCCAAUUCUACACCACUGUUUGUGAACACACUUAUUUUUAUCAACCACUAUUAUUUGGGAAAGCGUAAUCUGAGGACUGUAUCCUUGUAUAUUGUUCCAAAGAGCUGUAGCAUUCAUCACAUUUGAGUCACUUGUUUAGAGAACGCUGAUGAUGUUUCACGGACCCCUGAGCAGGAAAAAUACUAUUCCCCUGGCCAAAACAUUAGACUGAAACGUCCUUGAUUCCUGAGUCAUGCACAAGUUUAGGUUUGAACAACUGGAUUCUGUCAUCAACACCCAUCUGCAAGCGUCAUGCAUCAGACAGAACAGUAAUAUACUGUUGAUGUGAGCUAUCCACACCAGCUGGAAGUAUUGCUUCACACAAGGUGAAGAAACACACCGUGUUCCUGAUAACAAGGCCUAUUUUCAAAAACUAAAAUUCUGUAAUGAUUUACUCAUUGUUAUGUGUUUCGAAACCCAGCUUUCUAUCUAAUGCCUUCAGAAGUCCUCUGGGAUACUUUUCUAGUCAUUUUCUGCCUCUUUUGGAGCUUGACAGUCCCUGGUCACCAUCCACUUUCAUUAAAUGGAAAAGAGCAGCUUUGACAUUGUGCUAAACAUCUGCUUUUGUGCUCCACAGAGCUGAUUUAUUUAUAGUCUGAACCCUGUUGCUGCUGGAAACAUCCAUCGUUGGUGGCACAAAGACAUGGUGGAGUUAGAUUGUUAUCGGCUUGUUGGAAGAUAUUAACCAGUCCAGUUUAGUCAAUUGGACUUAGUCAGGCCUCAGCGCAUUGAAAACAUUACAGUUGCUUCACGUUACAGACCAGUAAUGACUUUGAUGGUGCAGAUAAGAGGAAGUGGAUCUGGAUGUUUUUGUGGUUCUCAUGCACAACAGGCAAAGAUGGCCUGUCCUCGAGGGCCUGUUAUGCAGACAGAUCAUGUAUCAUAAGCCAACUCUGUGGCUGAAUUUCAUAAUAAAUGGACCCCAUUUGGCCAGAUGAGAAGAAAAUGAGGAUUUCAGGAGACAUUAAAUCGUUAUGAAGACUACAAGAAAAUAAAAUUACAUCCAACAGCCAAC